AGUAGGCAUCUUAGGAGCAUGCAGAAAGUCUGUAAGAGCCAAAGAAUCAGGUAUAGGAUUGUGCCUUAUAGAUAUGAGUAGGAUGCAACACUCCUACAAUGUCAACAAUAUGGCUGCCUAACCAAGACAUGAGCAAUGAAAGCACCAGUUGAUAUGUCAAGGAGAUGUGGGAAAUCUCAAGCAAAAAGUGAUUAGGACUUUAAAGUGCCAACAACUAUUUUCCUCAGCUCAGUAAGAAGUUUUCUGGUGACUGCAUGAAGAUAUGAUGAAGUAUAGCUCCAAUCCUUUAAAGGUGAUCAAAACUACCUUGGCAUUCAUAAUAAAGACUGUAAGACACUUCGCAUGCUAUGCUAAUGCAAGGAUGGCAGAGCAUCAGCCAAGAUAUAACAGGAAAAUCUCCUGGUAAAACUGAGGAGUUUAUGGGAUGGUUGACAGCACAGAUGUGGCUUCAUCUUCAGACCCUUCAUCUUCAGACUUCUCCAGUGUGGGACUUGCAGAGUUCUUUUUUUCUAGAGGGCUUUCUGCUUCCUCUUAUUCUUUGGGAGAAGGAGUAUUGUUUUAAAUUUCAGUGACAAAAAGAGUCUACCCCUCACAGUGCAUUUCUUCACAGGUCAAUGAUGUUAAAGUUUUAAUCAAAUAAAGAUUGAAUUAGUGUGAAGC
Molecule: long non-coding RNA, 660 nt
Organism: Mus musculus (house mouse)
Lineage: Eukaryota; Metazoa; Chordata; Mammalia; Rodentia; Muridae
Product: RIKEN cDNA 4930470O06 gene
Exons: 4
Source: RefSeq, marked validated